CACGGGAUGCCGUUGGCCCGUUAAAAAACGGCACUAACCAUAAUCGCCAAUGAUUAUGACUAUGCAGUAGCCGCGUAAACUCGUUUUACCUGGUUACCGUUCUCUAUUCUUUUGUUCGUGAGGUUUAGAAGAACGUUAUUUUAGCGAACGAGCUGUGUGCCCAGCGUCUCGGGGGUAUGUGGUGAUUGAGAGACUGGUUCGGGUGGUAUCCUGUCCGCUGGAGUAGCCCGAACGAGACCCAAAGAGCGGAAUAAGCAUGUAGACGCUUUGCGUUGACGACUUUCGGACGGGGGUUCGAUUCCCCCCGCCUCCACCA
This 316-nucleotide transfer-messenger RNA is filed under the name Nitrospinota bacterium. Its description in RNAcentral is "partial transfer-messenger RNA". It matches the Rfam family "transfer-messenger RNA", at positions 51 to 374 of the family's 374-position model. Rfam says of the family: Bacterial tmRNA, also known as 10Sa RNA or SsrA, is named for its dual tRNA and mRNA-like properties. The record is from RNAcentral. Lineage: Bacteria; Pseudomonadati; Nitrospinota.